This 3053-nucleotide long non-coding RNA is filed under the name Equus caballus (horse). RNAcentral's name for it is "lncRNA (ENSECAG00000027907.2)". The record is from RNAcentral. Lineage: Eukaryota; Metazoa; Chordata; Mammalia; Perissodactyla; Equidae.
CCAAAACCUAGAGGCGGGAAAGAGCAGGGUGAGUUCCGGGAACUGCCAGCAGUCCAGUUGGACUAGAAGAACUGAGGCUCACACGAGCAUCAGUGGCCUGGCUCGGCAGCACAGACUUCAGAAGGACAGCGACCACAGAGACCUGGAGCCAUGGGGUUCCGCCCUCUGCCCCCCCAGGCACCGAGUCAUGCCAGUUCCCAGACAGAUGGAUUCCUUCCAAGAAUUCCACAGUCCUGCUCAGUCACAGCUGCUGGAGCCUCCCUGCCUUGGAUGGCUUUUUUUAGUUGGUAUCUAAUGCAAAUCCUUUUCUGUUCAGGUUUCAAAUACUUUGCUAUUGUCCUUUGAUCACGAUUUGUAUUGAUCUCCCUCAGUGUUUCUCAACCCCCAUGACACAAUGGAAGUACAUGGGGAGGGGUGCUUUAGGAAACAAAAACGCAUGGGCCCUCUCCUGGAAGUCUGAUUUCAUUGGUCUGCAGUGGAGCCCAGGCAUUGGCAUUCUUUCAUUGGGCAGCCAGGGAUGAGAACCACCGAUGCAGAUGGUCACCACUGAGAGUGUCCGGUUAGGCCCACACUCAGGGUGGGGCCUCCUGGCCUCAGACUUCCCACUCAAACAAACCCUGAAAGCGGCCUUGGCAGAUCUCCAGGAGCAGUUGGACUCCCUGAGGCUGGACUUGAAAUGGGUUUCCCAAGCAUCCACUCUGCAGCUGAGGCCAAAGUUUCCAACAGGAAGGGUGGGUGAGGCUUCUGUUUGUUUCCCAAGAGCCAACUGGCCUUUCAAGCCAGUGAUAACCACCAGGAACCUCACUGGCAGGAGAGCCAGACGUCAGUAGCAACUGCAGCCAUUUCCCACUGGCUCCACAUACGGGAAGGGGGCCUAGGUGGAGGUGGCACCCUCUCCUCUGACACUGGCUAUGAGAGGAGGACCCAGCUAAGGACAGAUUGGGGACCUGGACAAUAGGUCUUCUGCUUUCUUUCCAGCAAAAUGGAGGUGAUGAUUCCUGCCCCGAAGAUUCUUGUGAGGCCUUGAGAUAAAUCACCCCAGCAUGGGGAUAGCUUUCAGUAAGCAUUCUCUUCCUCCUGUUUUGCUAGUAAGUCCUUUCACAAAUGUAGGGAAACUCUCCAAGUCUGGGCCUCACAACUCUCUCGGCAUUUGUCCACCCCACCUCCCCAGUCUACAGGCCUUGGGGAGGCUCCUGAAGCCAUAUCACAGGCCCCUUGGAAGAAAAGUCAGGGUGAGGAACUUGGCAGGGGCCUCCCUGCUGCAAGGGAAAUGACGUUGAUUAACAAGGAAGUGACCAGCUGUCCUCUCCCCGGACUGAGCAGCAGAAAUAUGGCCUUGAGCCUGGGGAGGAUCUAGACCUGCAGGAAGAAUUCCCCGACAAAUGACCAUGUUGCCUAAAUGACUCAUGAGAGUCUGUGAAAGUCAGAGAUUCAUCCCGAGCCCCUCACCCUGUCACCACCAGGCAGUGUUGUUCCCAUUUGACAGCUGAGAAAACUGAGGCUGAGACAUUCAGUAACUCAGUGAAGCAGCCACCACCAGCGCGUGGCAGAGCUGGGACUGGAUGCUGAAAGACCAGCAGUUAUACUUUUAAGGCAAGCCCUCUCUGCCUUUUCCCUCUAAGAUCCUGGGACUUUGCGUUUUUCAUCUCAAGCCUUGCAAUCAGAGCCGUAGAAAAGCCACACGUAAUCCUAGCGUUCGGGCAUUAAACCCAAGGGGAAAGUGUGUCAUCAAAAUGCUUGUACAUUUUCCCUGGGAAUCCCCAUCACGGAAGAGGAAACUCUAUGAAGAGCAACCAGUUUUACUGGAAGGUCUCUCCCGGCCAAAAUGAGAGCAAGCAAGAGAUGUCGGAGGUCUUGGGAAAUGCAGAAGAGAUUAGGAAACUGAGGCUGGACAGAGGUACCGCUGGGAUUCAACUGUUGCUGGAUCGGACUCCAUAAGUUCCUUCCUCAGUCCCGGAGGGAGGCCUGACCACCUACUGCGGACAGGACUGGUGACCUGGCCCGCCUCUCAGGCCAGACUCUCCUCGCUGCAGGGAGGCCCCGGGCGCGGCGGGGCAGAGGAGCAGGAAGAACGGUCUGGGCGCACACGCCGAGGCCAAGGGCGGGCCCCCGCGCCCAGGAGGAGCCCAUUUCCCUCCCUCCCUCCCCUGGGACCCCGGCGCUGGGGGAGGGGAGCGGCCGCAGCCCUCCCCAUCCGCCCCGGCCGCCAGGUGCCCAGAAACGCGGCCUCCCCCUCCCGCCCCCGCGCCUGUUCCCGGCGCAGCCCGCGGCUCGGCGGUCACGUCUCCCCAUCCGGCUCCAAAGUACGAGUCAGCGGCGGCCGGGCCAGCCCCGCGGAAGGGCGGCGCCGGGGAGGGGAGGUGGCCCGAGGGGCCGGGCCGCGCGCUCCGCCCCCUCCUCCCUCCGCGCGGCGCGGGUAGGUCUGCGAGGGGCUGGGCCCCCCCGCCGCGCCCGGGUCGGCCCUGGCCCACGGGGCGCGGCGCGGGCGAGGCCGCAGCGUCGGGGCCACCGCCCCUGCCGGCGCUCCGCGGGCGCGGGGCGGGCCGAGGGGAGGCUGGCUGGGGAAGCCGCGAGGCCGCGCCUCCCGAGAGGCGCGCGGGCCGGUGUUGCUGGGGAGAAAAGCGCCGCCGCGGCCCCGCCUGGAGGCCCUCUGCUCCAGGGCGCAGCGCACUCUGCUGGGGCGACCUCGGAACUGCAGGGAGACCCCACCCGCACCUACAGCGACGACCCGACGCCCCGACGCCCCGACGCCCCGACGCCGGAGGCCGAGAGCUCGACGCCGGAGGCCGAGAGCUCGGGUCUGGGCCGUAGAAAUUCCUGGUUAAUUAAAGAUCAUUAUUCCCCCCUUUGUUUUAAUUAAUUCAAAAAUGAGUCCUGAGCAUAGCAGGGAAAUUUGGGAAUGUGGAGAACCAAAAAAAAAAACCACUCAUAAUGCCUGUAUCCAGAAAGCAACGCUUAGAAUUUUAGUGCCUGCCCUUUCAGCGCUUCGUAUCUGCAAAUCUAUCUGUGUAUGCAUUCUUUGUAGAAUAAAAAAUACGAUAGUGUCGGCCCUG